AUGGUGGAGCUUGUUCGCUUGGAUUUUUGGUGGAGGUUGUGGUUUUGGUUGAGGGCUGUUGGUGGGUUUGGAUUUUUGAUUCAUUCGGAUUUUUUGGUGGAGGUUGUGGUUGUGUUGAGGGUUGUUGGUGGUGGAGGUUGUGGUUGUGGAUUUCUAGGUUUGCCGUUGGUGGUGGUGGAGUUGGGUUUCAGUGUAGCUGGGUUUGAAGAGCAGAAAAGAAAAGGGAUGCGACCUUUCUUUGUUUUGACUGGCAUAGGGGCACCUCUCAUUUCAAAGACACCAUUGGUCUUUUGUCCAUACAAUGGAAGUGUGUGUUGUGACUCAGCCAAAGACCUGCAACUGCAGAAGCAAUUUCAUGCAAUGAAUAUCUCUGAUUCUGGCUGUGCUGCUCUUAUGAAAUCAAUACUUUGUGCGAUGUGUGAUCAGUUCUCAGCUCAGCUAUUUAAGGUUGAAUCAGGACCUCGAGAAGUUCCUGUUCUUUGUAGCUCCACUCUAUUGGUAAACUCAUCACAGUCGAACAGGGCAGCAAGUAGUUUUUGCUCUACUGUCUGGGAUGCAUGCCAAAAUGUGUCUAUAUUGAGUUCCCCUUUUGCCUCUUUACUACAAGGUAGUAAUGUGGUACCAGCUGAUUCUGGUUCUUCCAAACUAAACCAACUGGUGCAGUCCAAGAGUGUUUUCUGUGAUGCAUUUGGUGGUUCCUCUUAUGAUGGUUCAAUAUGUUUUGAUGGUGAACAAGUUUCACUAGAAAAGUCUGAAACUUUGGUUCUGCCAAAGGGCUUGUGCCUUGAGAAAAUUGGCAAUGGGUCUUAUCUCAAUAUGGUUGCACAUCCUGAUGGGUCUAAUCACGCAUUCUUCUCUAACCAAGCAGGCAAAAUUUGGUUGGCCACAAUACCUGAGCAAAGUUCAGGAGGUACUCUAGGACUUGAUGUGUCCAGGCCCUUUAUAGAUUUGACUGAUAGAGUCUUUUUUGACAGUAGCUUUGGGAUGAUGGGUAUGGCUUUUCAUCCAAACUUUGCGCAUAAUGGUCGUUUCUUUGCUUCGUUCAAUUGUGAUAAGAUCAGGACACCAGGAUGUUCUGGUAGGUGCGCUUGUAACACAGAUGCGAACUGUGAUCCUUCAAAGCUAAGUUCUUCUAAUGCAGCUCCACCAUGCCGGUAUCAUAUAGUUAUUGCAGAGUUCACUGCUAAUGGGACUAUCAAAACCUUCCUCAGAACAAAGUACUAGCCCAUCAGAAGUGAGAAGGAUUUUUACACUGGGGCUUCCAAUGGCAUUUAAUCAUGGGGGCCAGAUUCUAUUUGGACCUGCAGAUGGAUAUUUAUAUGUUAUGGUGGGAGAUGGUGCAAUCAGAGAUGAUCCUUACGAUUUUUCCCAAAACAAAAAAUCCUUGCUCGGAAAGAUUUUAAGGCUUGACAUUGAUAACUUACCGAGUGCAAAUGAAAUAGGUGACCUCAAUCUAUGGGGAAACUAUUCUGUCCCUCAAGAUAAUCCUUUUUCUGAAGAUAAAGACUUGCAGCCCGAACUCUGGGCUCUAGGAUUAAGAAAUCCCUGGCGCUGUAGCUUUGACUCACAUAGACCUCUCUACUUCAUCUGUGCAGAUACUGGGCAGGAUCAUUAUGAAGAGGUAGAUAUAAUCACCAAGGGUGGGAACUAUGGGUGGCAUGUUUAUGAAGGCCCCUUCCUCUUUAAUCCUCAGCAAUCUCCUGGAGGAAUUACUCCUGCCAAUUCUAUUCAUCCUAUCUUCCCUGUGUUGGGAUAUAACCACUCUAAUAUAAACAAGAAAGAAGGAUCUGCAGCAAUAUCAGGCGGAUACUUUUAUCGUUCCUCAACUGAUCCAUGCAUGUUUGGAAGGUAAGAAAGCACCCAUUUCUAAUUUAUAUGUAAUGUUUUGUAAACACUUGCUAACAAUCUUGACUGUCAUUGUGUAUUCAGUUACCUGUAUGCAGAUUUGUAUGGGAGUGGUAUUUGGGCAGCUGCUGAAAGCCCUGAAAAUAGUGGAAACUUUACUACUACUAGGAUUCCUUUUAGUUGUGCUCAUGAUUCUCCUAACAACUGCAGCACCAUACCAGGAAGUUCCCUACCAACUCUGGGUUACAUAUACUCGUUUGGGGAGGAUAACAGGAAAGACAUUUUUAUUUUAGCUAGCAGUGGCGUGUACAGAGUAGUUCGUCCAAGUCGCUGCAACUACACUUGCUCGAAGGAAAAUGUCACAGCUAUUAGCUUGCCAACUCAUUCAAGUGGAAAAAAGUUGACUAACUUGCAUAGAGUGCUGUGUCUGUCUUUCUUUCUUUCUUCCAUGCUUUAUAUUGUAAUCUGAUAACUAUGUUGUUGCUGAGAAAGUGUCCUAGAGCACGAAACCAUCUUCAGGAUUAUUCUUAGUUUUUGGUUUUGAGAGAAAAGGAGGUGCGGUGGGUGUUAAAGUGGAUGGAGGAAACAGGCUCCUUAGUAUUUUUUGCUCAAUAGUGCCAUGUUCUCGUAUA
Quercus lobata is the source of this 2477-nucleotide RNA transcript. It is a transcript of the gene named HIPL1 protein-like, with no coding region annotated. Lineage: Eukaryota; Viridiplantae; Streptophyta; Magnoliopsida; Fagales; Fagaceae. The transcript is spliced from 6 exons. The record is from RefSeq and is a predicted model, not a curated record.